UGUUAUUUAAACUGGCCAACAUGUUGCUGUAAAGUCUGUUUUAUCAGAGACUAGGAUUGCAACCCCUGCUUUUUUUUUUGCUUUCCAUUUGUUUGGUAGAUCUGCCUCCUUCCCUUUAUUUUGAGCCUAUGUGUGUUUUUGCACGUGAGAUGGGUCUCCUGAAUACAGCACACUGAUGGGUGUUGACUCUUUCUCCAAUUUGCCAGUCUGUGUCUUUUAAUUGUGGCAUUUAGCCCAUUUACAUUUAAGGUUAAUAUUGUUAUGUGUGAAUUUGAUCCUGUCAUUUUGCUGUUAGCUGGUUAUUUUGCCUGUUAACUGAUGCAGUUUCUUCAUAGCGUCAAUGGUCUUUACAAUUUGGCAUGUUUUUGCAGUGGCUGGUACUGAUUGUUCCUUUCCAUGUUUAGUGCUUCCUUUAGGAGCUCUUGUAAGGCAGACCUGGUGGUGACAAAAUCUCUCAGCAUUUGGUUGUCUGUGAAGGAUUUUACUUCUCCCCCACAUAUGAAGCUUAGUUUGGCUGGAUAUGAGAUUCUGGGUUGAAAAUUAUUUUCUUUAAGAGUGUUGAAUAUUGGCCCCCACUGUCUUCUGGCUUGUGUGGUUUCUGCCAAGAGAUCCACUGUUAGUCUGAUGGGCUUCCCUUUGUGGGU
Molecule: long non-coding RNA, 644 nt
Filed under: Pan troglodytes (chimpanzee)
Lineage: Eukaryota; Metazoa; Chordata; Mammalia; Primates; Hominidae
Description: long non-coding RNA NONPTRT014031
Source: RNAcentral